RNAcentral lists this ribosomal RNA (176 nucleotides) under uncultured bacterium. Its description in RNAcentral is "partial 16S ribosomal RNA". It matches the Rfam family "Bacterial small subunit ribosomal RNA", at positions 1325 to 1500 of the family's 1533-position model. The record is from RNAcentral.
GCUGGAAUCGCUAGUAAUCGCGAAUCAGAAUGUCGCGGUGAAUACGUUCCCGGGUCUUGUACACACCGCCCGUCACACCAUGGGAGUCGGAAAUGCCCGAAGUCAGUGACCCAACCGUAAGGAGGGAGCUGCCGAAGGUGGAGCCGGUAACUGGGGUGAAGUCGUAACAAGGUAGC